RNAcentral lists this ribosomal RNA (425 nucleotides) under uncultured bacterium. RNAcentral describes it as "bacterial SSU rRNA". It matches the Rfam family "Bacterial small subunit ribosomal RNA", at positions 356 to 773 of the family's 1533-position model. The record is from RNAcentral.
GGGGAAUUUUGGACAAUGGGGGCAACCCUGAUCCAGCCAUGCCGCGUGCGGGAAGAAGGCCUUCGGGUUGUAAACCGCUUUUAGUCGGGAAGAAAAGGCCAGGCCUAAUACGUCUGGUUCUUGACGGUACCGGCGGAAUAAGCACCGGCUAACUACGUGCCAGCAGCCGCGGUAAUACGUAGGGUGCGAGCGUUAAUCGGAAUUACUGGGCGUAAAGCGUGCGCAGGCGGUUCGUUAAGGCUGAUGUGAAAGCCCCGGGCUCAACCUGGGAAUGGCAUUGGAAACUGGCGGGCUUGAGUGUGGCAGAGGGGGGUGGAAUUCCGCGUGUAGCAGUGAAAUGCGUAGAGAUGCGGAGGAACACCGAUGGCGAAGGCAGCCCCCUGGGCUAACACUGACGCUCAGGCACGAAAGCGUGGGGAGCAAAC